UACGGCCUACGGGGCGCAGCAGUAGGGAAUUUUCGGCAAUGGGGGGAACCCUGACCGAGCAACGCCGCGUGAAGGAAGAAGGAAUUCGUUCUGUAAACUUCUGUUAUAAAGGAAGAAAGACGGAUGGAGGAAAUGACAUCCGAGUGACGGUACUUUAUGAGAAAGCCACGGCUAACUACGUGCCAGCAGCUGCGGUAAUGCGUAGGUGGCAAGCGUUAACCGGAAUUAUUGGGCGUAAAG
RNAcentral lists this ribosomal RNA (240 nucleotides) under uncultured bacterium. RNAcentral's name for it is "partial 16S ribosomal RNA". It matches the Rfam family "Bacterial small subunit ribosomal RNA", at positions 333 to 565 of the family's 1533-position model. The record is from RNAcentral.